GUGGAAUUUUCAAGCUGUUAGCGUUGUAUAAUGUGAUAUAACAAAGCCAGGAAAACUUUGCCGGUGGACGGUUCGUUAUAAACGUAAGUCAAAACUACAAUUGUCUCGAACAUUUUUAUGUAUAUUAUUAAUACGUAACAUGAUGGUUUCUUGUGAAAUUUGGAUAAAACAAGCACUCGUGAGUUUUUCAAAGACCUCAAAUAGCACUCGUCCUUCGGACCCGUGCUAUUUUCAUGCUCUUUGAAAUACUUACUCGUGCAUGUUUUUAUCCAAAUUGCACUCGAAACUACCCUAUUAUCUAUCAUCCUAUCAACAAAAAUAACUGUACCUACA
This is a non-coding RNA of Paramuricea clavata, 333 nucleotides long. The record is from the annotation of a GenBank genome assembly. Lineage: Eukaryota; Metazoa; Cnidaria; Anthozoa; Malacalcyonacea; Plexauridae.